Molecule: ribosomal RNA, 502 nt
Filed under: Aglenchus agricola
Lineage: Eukaryota; Metazoa; Nematoda; Chromadorea; Rhabditida; Tylenchidae
Description: SSU rRNA
Rfam family: Eukaryotic small subunit ribosomal RNA
Source: RNAcentral
CGCGAAUGGCUCAUUACAACAGCUAUAAUUUACUUGAUCUUGACAAUCCUACUUGGAUAACUGUGGUAAUUCUAGAGCUAAUACAUGCACCAAAGCUCUGACCUUACGGGAAGAGUGCAUUUAUUAGAACAAAACCAAGCGGCUUCGGUCGUUUUUUGUUGACUCAGAAUAACUAAGCUGAUCGCAUGGUCUUGUACCGGCGACGUGUCUUUCAAGUAUCUGCCUUAUCAACUUUCGAUGGUAGUGUAUCUGACUACCAUGGUUGUGACGGGUAACGGAGGAUAAGGGUUCGACUCCGGAGAAGGGGCCUGAGAAAUGGCCACUACGUCUAAGGAUGGCAGCAGGCGCGCAAAUUACCCACUCUCAGAACGAGGAGGUAGUGACGAGAAAUAACGAGACCGUCCUCUACGAGGCCGGUCAUCGGAAUGGGUACAAUCUAAACCCUUUAACGAGUAUCAAUGAGAGGGCAAGUCUGGUGCCAGCAGCCGCGGUAAUUCCAGCU